GGGCCCGCACAAGCGGUGGAGUAUGUGGUUUAAUUCGAUGCAACGCGAAGAACCUUACCAGGGUUUGACAUCCUGCGAAUCUCUUGGAAACGAGAGAGUGCCUUCGGGAACGCAGUGACAGGUGGUGCAUGGCUGUCGUCAGCUCGUGUCGUGAGAUGUUGGGUUAAGUCCCGCAACGAGCGCAACCCACGUCUUUAGUUGCCAGCAUUUAGUUGGGCACUCUAGAGAGACUGCCGGUGAUAAACCGGAGGAAGGUGUGGAUGACGUCAAGUCAUCAUGCCCCUUACAUCCUGGGCUACACACGUACUACAAUGGGGCGUACAGAGGGUUGCGAAGCGGCGACGUGGAG
RNAcentral lists this ribosomal RNA (349 nucleotides) under uncultured bacterium. Its description in RNAcentral is "bacterial SSU rRNA". It matches the Rfam family "Bacterial small subunit ribosomal RNA", at positions 917 to 1267 of the family's 1533-position model. The record is from RNAcentral.